This 370-nucleotide ribosomal RNA is filed under the name uncultured organism. RNAcentral's name for it is "bacterial SSU rRNA". It matches the Rfam family "Bacterial small subunit ribosomal RNA", at positions 526 to 896 of the family's 1533-position model. The record is from RNAcentral.
CGUAGGGUGCGAGCGUUAAUCGGAAUUACUGGGCGUAAAGCGUGCGCAGGCGGUUUUGUAAGCCAGAUGUGAAAUCCCCGGGCUCAACCUGGGAAUGGCAUUUGGGACUGCAAGGCUGGAGUGUGGCAGAGGAGACUGGAAUUCCUGGUGUAGCAGUGAAAUGCGUAGAUAUCAGGAGGAAUACCGAUGGCGAAGGCAGGUCUCUGGGCUAACACUGACGCUCAUGCACGAAAGCGUGGGGAGCAAACAGGAUUAGAUACCCUGGUAGUCCACGCCCUAAACGAUGUCGACUGGUUGUUGGGGGUUUGACACUCUCAGUAACGAAGCUAACGCGUGAAGUCGACCGCCUGGGGAUACGGCCGCAAGGUUA